AUUGAACGCUGGCGGCAGGCUUAACACAUGCAAGUCGAGCGGGGUGAUGGUGCUUGCACUAUCACUUAGCGGCGGACGGGUGAGUAAUGCUUAGGAAUCUGCCUAUUAGUGGGGGACAACAUCUCGAAAGGGAUGCUAAUACCGCAUACGUCCUACGGGAGAAAGCAGGGGAUCACUUGUGACCUUGCGCUAAUAGAUGAGCCUAAGUCGGAUUAGCUAGUUGGUGGGGUAAAGGCCUACCAAGGCGAUGACGGGUAGCUGGACUGAGAGGUCGGUCAGCCACAAUAGCACUGAGAUACGGGCUAUACAUCUACGGAUGGCAGCAACGGGGAAUUUUGCGCAAUGGACGAAAGUCUGACGCAGCGACGCCGCGUGAGGGAUGAAGGCCUUCGGGUCGUAAACCUCUUUUGACAGGGAAGUGCCCGCCGUAAGGCGAGGCGUACGGUACCUGUAGAAUAGGCACCUGCUAACCAUGUGCCAGCAGCCGCAGUAA
RNAcentral lists this ribosomal RNA (493 nucleotides) under uncultured bacterium. Its description in RNAcentral is "partial 16S ribosomal RNA". It matches the Rfam family "Bacterial small subunit ribosomal RNA", at positions 30 to 523 of the family's 1533-position model. The record is from RNAcentral.